AAUUAGAAAGCGAAUAUUUGCACUUAGUUUCGACCUAACUCUUGGUUUUAUACCUCUAAUUU
RNAcentral lists this transfer RNA (62 nucleotides) under Astacopsis gouldi. Its description in RNAcentral is "tRNA-Arg". The record is from RNAcentral. Lineage: Eukaryota; Metazoa; Arthropoda; Malacostraca; Decapoda; Parastacidae.